RNAcentral lists this long non-coding RNA (964 nucleotides) under Nicotiana benthamiana. RNAcentral's name for it is "long non-coding RNA (NBEN_LNC008106)". The record is from RNAcentral. Lineage: Eukaryota; Viridiplantae; Streptophyta; Magnoliopsida; Solanales; Solanaceae.
AUCAUCUCGGCAAAACAUGAGAAGAUCAUCAGCAAAACAAAUAUGCACACGGUUUUUAUUCUACUUGCAAACUUAGCUUGUGUUAGUUUAGAAAAAAGCAUGCUUAGUUGACCUUAUUGCCUAUUUGCUUAAACUACCUUAAUUGCAUUACGUGAAGCAUGUUAGGCUAGAAUUACUUGUUCACUCGUUACGAACUUAGUAUUUAUUUUAAGUUGUUGCUUUGUGUUUUAAUUUGGGACUACGAGACAGCAUCCCAGGAGAUCGCCUACACGUAAUUUUGAUUUGGACUGAGGUGCGGGAUACCAAGAGAUCCCUUGCACAAGUUAGGAGGAUACCAAGAGAUCCUUGGCAUAUAUAUUGAGGAUAUCAAUAGAUCCUCGAGAUACCAAGAGAUCCCUAGCAUAUAUAUUGAGGAUACCAAGAGAUCCUCGGGAUACCAAGGAUCCCUAGUGUAUAUAUUGAGGAUACCAAGAGAUCCUCGGUUAUCAUCCUUGUUGUAAGCAUUAUUUCUUUGUGUUCUUCCUUUAUUUUUGUUUCCAUUAUUAUAUUCUUAUUAUCCUGUAUAGACUCUAACUGUAGAUUCUCAAUUAUACUGUUUAUCUUCUCCAGUCAUUUUUAUUAUUAUUUACCUCAGUAGGGCCCUGACCUUCCUCUUCACUACCUGACCGAGGUUAGGAUUGGCACUUACUUACCAUUGUGGUGUACUCAUACCCUUUCUGUGCAUAUUUUUCAUGUGCAGAUCUAGAUACCUCUUCAUAAGCUUACCAUCCUUGAGGCAGGAAGAGCUUUUGGAGACUUCGAGGUACAUCUUCCGCAUCCGCAGGCUGAAGAAUCUCCCUCUUUAUUCUAUCUUGUAGUGUUAGCCUUUCUAUCAUACUGUUGAUAUAGACAUUCCGGAGUUAGAGCAUUUUGCUAUAUUUCUUUCAGCAUGUGUUCUCGUGAGUUUCCAGGUUUUGGAAUAGUG